AGCCAGGGAGGCAGCCGUCUCCAACGGGC
This 29-nucleotide small RNA is filed under the name Bombyx mori (domestic silkworm). RNAcentral's name for it is "ovarian small RNA-12069". Lineage: Eukaryota; Metazoa; Arthropoda; Insecta; Lepidoptera; Bombycidae. The record is from RNAcentral.